RNAcentral lists this small RNA (407 nucleotides) under Vigna angularis var. angularis. Its description in RNAcentral is "Non-protein coding transcript". Lineage: Eukaryota; Viridiplantae; Streptophyta; Magnoliopsida; Fabales; Fabaceae. The record is from RNAcentral.
AAACUCAGGAGUGAUUCUGCUGCCUGCAAUUGUAAGCGAGAAAACAUACCAGUUAGUAACAGAUUUCAAUGAUAAGUUUGAAGAUAGUGACUACCAGAUUUCAAAACUGUUAGUAGUGGGUUUUAAGCCUAACUCAACCCCACAAAACCGGCUUGUAGGGUGAGGUUUGCACCUCACUUAUAUAUUAUAAUUUGGCCUUAUCUCUAGUCGAUGUGGGACUUCCAACAAAAACAAUAGUACAAAGUCAUAGAAUCCUUUAAGUAAUGCAGGUUUACUCAACAAAUGAAUAGAACGAAAAAGGUCCUAUAAUUCGGUGAUAUAUAGCAGUCAAAGACUAAAAUUCAUCAAGGUGCAAAGAAGGACAAGAGGAGCAGAAGAACAAACCAGAGCCUGUAUGAGAAUGUGCA